RNAcentral lists this long non-coding RNA (300 nucleotides) under Bos taurus (domestic cattle). Its description in RNAcentral is "long non-coding RNA NONBTAT007657". The record is from RNAcentral. Lineage: Eukaryota; Metazoa; Chordata; Mammalia; Artiodactyla; Bovidae.
GGCAUAUAAAUCAUUAAAGAAAAUAGUGAACUUUCUGAAAACCCAAUCACUUACUCAAAAGACAUAGCAAAAUUAGAACACACAGUAAUUGCUUUUAUAGCUGAGGCAAUAAAAUCCAAGGUGUAAAUAAUAAUUUUAUGGGUCAGGCAUCCACGUAAAUGACAAGUCCUUAUACUUCAUCUGCCCUCCACAACUGCACUUGCCUUUAGGUUAAUAUGAUGCUUUCUGAACUGCUCAAGUUUUCCUCCUAGAGUCAUAUGUAAGUUGUGAUUUUCUAUAAAGGAAAUCUGUCUUCAACCU